GAUGAACGCUGGCGGCGUGCCUGAUACAUGCAAGUCGAGCGAACAGACGAGGAGCUUGCUCCUCUGACGUUAGCGGCGGACGGGUGAGUAACACGUGGAUAACCUACCUAUAAGACUGGGAUAACUUCGGGAAACCGGAGCUAAUACCGGAUAAUAUAUUGAACCGCAUGGUUCAAUAGUGAAAGACGGUUUUGCUGUCACUUAUAGAUGGAUCCGCGCCGCAUUAGCUAGUUGGUAAGGUAACGGCUUACCAAGGCAACGAUGCGUAGCCGACCUGAGAGGGUGAUCGGCCACACUGGAACUGAGACACGGUCCAGACUCCUACGGGAGGCAGCAGUAGGGAAUCUUCCGCAAAGGGCGAAAGCCUGACGGAGCAACGCCGCGUGAGUGAUGAAGGUCUUCGGAUCGUAAAACUCUGUUAUUAGGGAAGAACAAAUGUGUAAGUAACUAUGCACGUCUUGACGGUACCUAAUCAGAAGGCCACGGCUAACUACGUG
Molecule: ribosomal RNA, 497 nt
Filed under: uncultured bacterium
Lineage: Bacteria
Description: partial 16S ribosomal RNA
Rfam family: Bacterial small subunit ribosomal RNA
Source: RNAcentral